GGUCCGUUGGCAGAAUUGGCAUUGCGUCUGACUACGAAUCAGGAGAUUCUGGGUUCGAUCCCCAGGCGGACCU
RNAcentral lists this transfer RNA (73 nucleotides) under Pestalotiopsis fici W106-1. RNAcentral describes it as "tRNA-Arg (ACG) (tRNA-Arg-ACG-1 1 to 6)". It matches the Rfam family "tRNA". From Rfam's summary of the family: Transfer RNA (tRNA) molecules are approximately 80 nucleotides in length. Their secondary structure includes four short double-helical elements and three loops (D, anti-codon, and T loops). Lineage: Eukaryota; Fungi; Ascomycota; Sordariomycetes; Amphisphaeriales; Sporocadaceae. The record is from RNAcentral.